Molecule: long non-coding RNA, 861 nt
Organism: Prosopis cineraria
Lineage: Eukaryota; Viridiplantae; Streptophyta; Magnoliopsida; Fabales; Fabaceae
Exons: 3
Source: RefSeq, a predicted model, not a curated record
UGAUUCUGCUGGUGGUUUCAUUGCAGGAUCAAGUGAAUUGAGUAGAUCUCCAGGGCUUACUUGUGAAAAUACAAAUCCUCCCGGUGAAGAUGGGUUAGAAUCGCUACAUGCGCUCCCUGUAUUGCAUUUAUUGCACGAAGGGAGUGAGACUUACACAAGAAUCGACUAGCAGUGCCUGGAAACUCAGUUACGACCCCAUCAACUUUAAUAACUUGGAAGAAAGUGCCAAUUUCCAUAAGAGGAUCUGCUACAUAGUCAAAUGGCAGGGUGGAGUACUCAUUUUUCAUGAGAUGGACGAACACUGUGAGUGUCAACAGAUUGGAUCAGAACUUGUUUUGUGGAAUUCUUGUCCAAGGUUGCAUUGCUCAGGGCUGCACUCACAGAACCUACUAUGUCAAGACCCUUCUUUGAUGCAAGGUAGGCAGCAUUCUGUUAACAAUGGGUUAACAUAAAUUUGGAUUAGGAAGGAUGGGAAGGAGGGAUGUACAUAUUUAAUUUGGAAUAAGUUCAAUGAAAAGAUCUUGGUUAAAUCUUCCCUUCGCUUAUUUUCAACCCAAACACAACUUCAAGGAGAAACGCUUCAGGGAGUUGAAAAGUUUCUCACCUGUAUGUCGAUUAAAAUGCCAGUGGGUGCCUUUGCCUUGGCAAACUCCAGAAAUUCAGCUAGGGUAACAAAAUUACCACUAUUCUUGUACCCUGGGUUCCUCAAAAAGUUACCAUUAUUAUCAGCGAAAGGGCUAACCAUUUGAGCUGAAACAAGAAAUUUACAAAGUAAGUUCAAUGUUCAAAUAUAGUAGAGGGUAGCAUGUAUUUAUGUGAAUUGAGUUUCUUCUAGUUCUAUAGAAGCGUAUUACGUCUCAA